UCCUUUGCCCUUUGAAGUGUAAUGGAAUACGUGCUUGUAAACUGGCACAUGAACUGGAUACGGCUUUGCGACUGGAAUGGGAAAUUUCUUUUCGACGUACACUGGAUACGGCUUCUCCACCACAAAAGGGAUUUCCACGUGUUUCACAACUUCGACUGGAUAGGGGUGUGGAAUUUCAACGGGAACUUGUUGAGGUUGAGGAAUUGGUAUUUCUAUCUUUUGAGGAAUUUCGACUGGUACAGGAUGAGGGAUUGGAAUUGCUGUAAUUACACAACGAGUGGAGCUUCCAUGGUCUUCUUCGAUGUGGCCCGCAGAAACGAUCCCGGCGAUCAUCGCCAGACCAAAUAGAGCAAUCUACAAACAUUCGAUUGAUAAUCAUCGAUUCUGCGUAUCGAUACGUUACGUCUUGUAAUCUCCGUUCUUGUUCAGCCGUUAAUCGAAUCAAAGAACAUAUCAGGUAAUUAGGCUUAAUUUUUCUGUCGGCGAUACAAUUACAUUUUCGAUCAAUUUAAGGAAAUUACUAUUACGUAAUUCAUCUAUCAUCUUUCAAGU
This is a long non-coding RNA of Bombus terrestris (buff-tailed bumblebee), 552 nucleotides long. RefSeq lists it as uncharacterized. The transcript has 3 exons. The record is from RefSeq and is a predicted model, not a curated record. Lineage: Eukaryota; Metazoa; Arthropoda; Insecta; Hymenoptera; Apidae.